Molecule: unclassified non-coding RNA, 322 nt
Filed under: Hevea brasiliensis (rubber tree)
Lineage: Eukaryota; Viridiplantae; Streptophyta; Magnoliopsida; Malpighiales; Euphorbiaceae
Source: RNAcentral
GGAAGAGUGGUGCUCCAAGUAGUAACAUUAAGAUAAGCUUAUACUUGAUCAACAUGAAAAUGUAUUUAACCAACCUAAGAUUAAUCCUAUGAGAUCUGAUCUUCUAUGCAUUCACAGAACUAUAAAUCACCUUGUAACUUGCACCGAUUGUCCAGCCAUGCGGCAGAUAAGUCUGCACCAUCUCUGAAGGUGGCAUGCUUGUCAUGGCUGUUAGUAAAGAAGGCUGUUUUGACACAUAAAACCUGAUAACUAGUGACAUAUCCAAAGGAGAUACUAAUUGUGAUCCUCAGAAAUUGUAGGUGAUACAUCCGUUGUUCUCUUU